AUAGCUAACAUCGGGCUGGAUACGACAA
Molecule: small RNA, 28 nt
Filed under: Bombyx mori (domestic silkworm)
Lineage: Eukaryota; Metazoa; Arthropoda; Insecta; Lepidoptera; Bombycidae
Description: ovarian small RNA-12372
Source: RNAcentral